RNAcentral lists this long non-coding RNA (1230 nucleotides) under Bemisia tabaci. RNAcentral describes it as "lncRNA ENSSSA3NGG001378". Lineage: Eukaryota; Metazoa; Arthropoda; Insecta; Hemiptera; Aleyrodidae. The record is from RNAcentral.
ACAUAAACAAAAAUUUGUGACGUGUUUGUCUAGGAAUUUGUCGGAUUUUUUGGCUUUUCAAGUCGGUGGUUUUCAUAUUUCUGCACUUAUUUGACUCUAAACUUACAAGCAAUUUGCAUAUUAUCUGCCCUAGAACCAUUGAGGAUUUAAUUUAUUAAGGAACAUUUGUCGCAACGAAUAUUCAACUCCAUCUCAUGUCACUUUCAGGAUGGACCCUCUUUAGUGUCUCCUUGUCUCAUUUUGCCUCGAAUUUUCACCUCAUACCUUGUGAUACGGAGCUCAAGAUGCGGGGUAUCAUCACAUUACAUGCAUUCAUGUUCGUCUGUUAUCUGGCUCUGGUUAAUGCUCAAUGGGAUUGGGAAAUCCAUGUCUACCCGGAUCCAAACUACGGUGGCACUAGUGAGAGAGUGUCGGGCAACACGAAUAACUGGUGUCAACCAGUUGUAUACGUCACUGGCGUUAGCUCCAUUGACUUCGGAAAUAACAGAGGCUGCAUUGGGCAUUUUUUGAGCUUUUAUCCGGAUCAAAAUUGCGCACUCCCGGCACUUGUUGGAGGCCAAAACUGUUCCACUCCACAAGUUCCAAAAUUCGCAGACAAUAAAAUUCGAGGCGUAAUGUGGGAUAGAUUUGCAUAAAUAUUCCUUUAACUCCAUCAAGGCGAACUAUCACAAUAUAUUCAGCAACUGUGUGCUUUUUCUCGACCUUUUGAGGACGAUUCCAUACUCCAUCUAUCAACUGAUAAUUUGUGGAUUUCAAGACUCUUUUUGGUUUCUAUGUGAUCUUAAUCCAAUUGUGGCUUUCCGUCUUUGAAUUCUCUGUUUAUUUUCCCAAAGCGUUUGUUUUUUCUCGAAAAGUAAUCUUGGGUGGUAGAUGAAAGUGUGGAAAUAAACAUCCUUCAUUUAUUGCAAAAUGGAUGCAAGUCAUAUAUUAUUUCUAAUAUGUCUUCAUUAUUUUCGCGUCUACCACGCAGGCUUAAUGCCCAUGGAACGUUCGCGCUUUCAAAAAAAAAGUCCCAUACUUAGAUAGAAGAAAAUCCAUCAGCUUUAAAAAAAUGUCCCAUACUUAGAAAUAAGAAAAUCCAUCAAAUUGUGUGUGUUGACCAGUUUUGAGCGUUCACCACGUUAGUGAUUUACGCUCUUUCCGGCCGUUUUGCAGCGGGUAUUUCUACAAUUCUACACUUCUGGCAGCUGAAGUUUUCAGGGAUACGGAACAAAGUUUUCGUCCGUGCAU